UAAAUUAUGAGCAAUAUGCUCGAUAUGUGAUUGGAAAUUGGAAAGAUUGUUAUGGGAAAGUGAUGAAUACAAUUGAAGUGUGAAAGAUCAAAAUUGACAAUAAAACUAUUCUGGAUAGUAGCAGUGAUGUGAAUCUAAAACUUUUCCAAAAAUAGUAGAAAUUGAAUCAGAGACUGAAUGAGAUAUCAAAUUAGAUCUUAAUGAGUUUUUUUUUCAUAUAACAAAAACAG
Molecule: long non-coding RNA, 230 nt
Filed under: Gossypium barbadense (sea-island cotton)
Lineage: Eukaryota; Viridiplantae; Streptophyta; Magnoliopsida; Malvales; Malvaceae
Description: long non-coding RNA (GBAR_LNC012523)
Source: RNAcentral